This 348-nucleotide ribosomal RNA is filed under the name uncultured bacterium. Its description in RNAcentral is "partial 16S ribosomal RNA". It matches the Rfam family "Bacterial small subunit ribosomal RNA", at positions 338 to 703 of the family's 1533-position model. The record is from RNAcentral.
CCUACGGGAGGCAGCAGUGGGGAAUAUUGCACAAUGGGGGAAACCCUGAUGCAGCGACGCCGCGUGAGUGAAGAAGUAUUUCGGUAUGUAAAGCUCUAUCAGCAGGGAAGAAAAUGACGGUACCUGAGUAAGAAGCCCCGGCUAACGACGGGCCAGCAGCCGCGGUAAUACGGAGGGGGCAAGCGUUAUCCGGAUUUACUGGGUGUAAAGGGAGCGUAGACGGCAGCACAAGUCUGGAGUGAAAUGCCGGGGCUUAACCCCGGAACUGCUUUGGAAACGGUGCAGCUAGAGUGCAGGAGAGGUAAGUGGCAUUCCUCGUGUAGCGGUGAACUGCGUAGCUAUUAGGAG